UCGGGAAUUUUGGACAAUGGGCGCAAGCCUGAUCCAGCCAUGCCGCGUGGAUGAUGAAGGCCUUAGGGUUGUAAAAUCCUUUCGUUGGGGACGAUAAUGACGGUACCCGCAGAAUAAGCCCCGGCUAACUUCGUGCCAGCAGCCGCGGUAAUACGAAGGGGGCUAGCGUUGUUCGGAAUCACUGGGCGUAAAGCGCACGUAGGCGGAUGUGCCAGUCAGGGGUGAAAUCCCGGAGCUCAACUUCGGAACUGCCUCUGAUACAGCACGUCUUGAGUCCGAUAGAGGUGGGUGGAAUUCCUAGUGUAGAGGUGAAAUUCGUAGAUAUUAGGAAGAACACCAGUGGCGAAGGCGGCCAACUGGCUCGAUACUGACGCUGAGGUGCGAAAGCGUGGGGAGCAAACAGGAUUAGAUACCCAAGUAGUCCCUGAGCGGGCUGGCAAGGCGCAU
RNAcentral lists this ribosomal RNA (447 nucleotides) under uncultured bacterium. RNAcentral describes it as "bacterial SSU rRNA". It matches the Rfam family "Bacterial small subunit ribosomal RNA", at positions 355 to 825 of the family's 1533-position model. The record is from RNAcentral.